GACGAACGCUGGCGGCGUGCUUAACACAUGUAAGUCGAACGGAAAGGCCCUGCUUUUGUGGGGUGCUCGAGUGGCGAACGGGUGAGUAACACGUGAGUAACCUGCCCUUGACUUUGGGAUAACUUCGGGAAACUGGGGCUAAUACCGGAUAGGAGCUCCUGCUGCAUGGUGGGGGUUGGAAAGUUUCGGCGGUUGGGGAUGGACUCGCGGCUUAUCAGCUUGUUGGUGGGGUAGUGGCUUACCAAGGCUUUGACGGGUAGCCGGCCUGAGAGGGUGACCGGCCACAUUGGGACUGAGAUACGGCCCAGACUCCUACGGGAGGCAGCAGUGGGGAAUAUUGCACAAUGGGCGGAAGCCUGAUGCAGCAACGCCGCGUGCGGGAUGACGGCCUUCGGGUUGUAAACCGCUUUCGCCUGUGACGAAGCGUGAGUGACGGUAAUGGGUAAAGAAGCACCGGCUAACUACGUG
RNAcentral lists this ribosomal RNA (468 nucleotides) under uncultured bacterium. Its description in RNAcentral is "partial 16S ribosomal RNA". It matches the Rfam family "Bacterial small subunit ribosomal RNA", at positions 28 to 507 of the family's 1533-position model. The record is from RNAcentral.